Non-coding RNA from Kogia breviceps (pygmy sperm whale), 365 nucleotides. The record is from RefSeq and is a predicted model, not a curated record. NCBI's taxonomy places the organism in Eukaryota, Metazoa, Chordata, Mammalia, Artiodactyla, Physeteridae.
UUCAAAACGAGACAGCUUUCAUUUCACUCCUAUAAAACUCGUACGUUGACAUAGAUCUCUGGCUGAAAAAUAAAGCUUCCUCUUAGUUAAAAAAGAGAGAGAGAGAGAGAGAGCCAGAGGUAAGAAAAUAUGCACGCAAGAAUAUGUGAACAAGAUGAUGAUUUCUAAAACAUAUUGGAAUGUUUGCAGCUCCUGGGGUUCAGCUUUGGAUUUGGCCCCGCCUCUACAUCUCCAGACUUUUCCGCAGACUCCCUCCCGGCUAGCUGUGGCGCACUAGCCCCCUUCAGGCUGUGCUCACACAGCCAACCCCAGUCCUCUCCCUGGGGUCUGACCUCCGAAGCCCAAGCCUCAGCUACCAGCCCCCA